UCCGUAUCUCCAGGCUUCCCCGGAAGGGGAGGGCCAGGGUGUUGGGCUGUGCCGUCCCCGUGUUGUCGGUGGGGGAUGGGCCCCAAACAGAGUGGCAGUACCGUAUCCGGUCCUGGAGCAUGAUGGGGCGUUGUCACCGGCUCUUGGGGGACCGGAUCCGGGUUGCUGGCCGGGCCGUCUUGAUUCUAUCC
This 191-nucleotide unclassified non-coding RNA is filed under the name uncultured Elaphomycetaceae. Its description in RNAcentral is "sequence contains ITS2". The record is from RNAcentral. Lineage: Eukaryota; Fungi; Ascomycota; Eurotiomycetes; Eurotiales; Elaphomycetaceae.